ACAAAAAUUAGCCAGGUGUAGUGGUGCCCACCUGUAAUCCCAGCUACUCAGGAGGCUGAGACAGGAGAAUCGCUUGAACCGGGGAGGUGGAAGUUGCAGUGAGCUGAAAUUGCACCAUUGCAUUCCAGCCUGGGUGAUAAGAGUGAAACUCCAUCUCAAAAAGAAAAAAAGGCUUUUGAAAACUAGAGGUAGGGGAUGGAGGUAGGUGGGACGGGGGGAUUUGGGGAUGGAACUUGCAGAGUUAGAACUUGCCAGGGAAAGAGGGUGGUGUUAGGACUCAGGAGACAGGGUUAGGAUCUAAGUCGUCCUCUUCCACUAUCCUGACACCACUGUUGCCCCAGGCCUGGGCCGAGGCCACUGGUGCAUACGUUCCCGGGAGGGAUAAGCCAGACCUGCCAACCUGGAAGAGGAAUUUCCGUUCUGCCCUCAACCGCAAAGAAGGCUUGCGUUUAGCAGAGGACCGGAGCAAGGACCCUCAUGACCCACACAAAAUCUACGAGUUUGUGAACUCAGGAGUUGGGGACUUUUCCCAGCCA
RNAcentral lists this small RNA (536 nucleotides) under Pongo abelii (Sumatran orangutan). RNAcentral's name for it is "retained intron". Lineage: Eukaryota; Metazoa; Chordata; Mammalia; Primates; Hominidae. The record is from RNAcentral.